AUGACAAAAGAAGGAGUCUACAACAAUGUCCUCCAAUCACAUGGCUAUGCAUUAGAUGCAAUGAUCCGAGAAGUGCGCCACAAAAACAGUGCAAGGCAACAACUGAUGGCAGUAAGAUUGCACAACUCUGCCUUACAAAAACAGAUAGAAGAGCUUACAAAAAAGGCAGAUGACCUACAAACGGAGCUGCUCUUCGUCAGGGAUGGUCAAUGGCAGGAUGAUCAAGGGGAGAUACAACCUGUAACAAAUGAUGGAAACCGGGUGGAAGAAGAAGAUGAGGAAACAGAGGCUGAAGUCACCCUGGAGGAGUCGUAACCAACAACAAGAUGUUGUGCUGAACCACAGCACUCAACAACAUUAAAGACAGACCAGAGCAGCAAAAGGACGCCAGUGUCUAAAUGUAAAUAAGAGUUUGUACAUAGUUUUUAGAUAAUAAACGUUACUAAUAAAAGGCUUAUUUGUGUGUUUGGCUUAUUUACUGCUUAUUUGCUGGUUAUGUCAAAUUAUGUGUACAAAUGGAAUAUGAUUCUCAUUUCUUAACAUAAUAUCAGUAGAAAAUCUUCAUCAUUUGGAAGUUAAUCUUAAUCUCCAAUAACAUGUUAGUCACAGGUGGGUACUAACGAGUUACAUUUACGCGGUUACAUUUACUUGAAUAAGUUCUUGAAAAAAUUAUACUUCUAGGAGUAGUUUUCAAUCACUAUACUUUAAACUAUAGUUUAAAUUCAAUAAACGCUUAACUAACUAUAGAAAGUUGUCAAUUAACAAUAAACUCUAAGCUACUUGAUACAGUAGACAUAAGAAUAAAAAUAACAUACAAAUACAAUUCACCUUCAAAAUCAAAUAAGUAAACGUACAGAACUGUGAAAAGAUAGAUAUAGAUAAAUAUAUAGGGCUGUAUAUGGGAUUGUAUUAUUGUACAGUGGAUAAAAGACAUUAGCAGAAAUUACAUUAUUGCACUGAAGUGGUGGAUAAACUUAUUGCACAAAAAAAGAAAGACAGAAAGAAGAGUGUCCAGGUAUGUAUGAGUAGGUUGUUAUUAUCAUUGCACAGUGAGUGCCUACCACUGCUUCAUUUCUUUCUGUCCUCUUUACCCUAUUUCCUACGCCCCCGAGUGAAAAGUUGUAGAGUAGGAUGGCAUGAGGGACAAAGGAGUUUUUGAGCCUGUUUGUUCUACACUUGAGAAAGAGCCGUCUUUCACUGAACACACUCCUCUGGUUGCUGAUGACAGUGUGCAAGGGGUGGGUGGCAAUAAUAAUGUCAAAGACUUGGUCCAGUGUCCUCCUCUCUGCCACCGCCACCAGUGAAUCCAGUUUCAUGCUGACUACAAAGCCAGCCCACAUGAUCAGUUUAUCCAGUCUUGAAACAUGUCACAAUGAAGAGUGGUCUCACUCGGCUUCUGGUGAUCAGGGCUUGGAAGUGGGGUGAUGUGAACAUUUCAAGUUGUGGUCUGCAUGUGUUAUGACGACACGUGACGCGGCCGCAGCACGCCCCUACUUGCGCGCCGGGUGCGAGGUCCCGCCCAACGCUGCUUGCAGCUUUAAUUAGGGACCUCGCAGCGACCGCAGGAGGUCCCUAUUGUUUUUCCUAUGUUUAUUAUUAUUAUUUCUAGUAAACUUUGCAACGCGUUUUUCAGCCCC
RNAcentral lists this long non-coding RNA (1637 nucleotides) under Dicentrarchus labrax (European seabass). RNAcentral's name for it is "lncRNA (ENSDLAG00005032983.1)". The record is from RNAcentral. Lineage: Eukaryota; Metazoa; Chordata; Actinopteri; Moronidae.